AUUCCAGCUCCAGUAGCGUAUAUUAAAGUUGUUGCAGUUAAAAAGCUCGUAGUUGGAUUUUUGACUUCAGAUACCUGACCCUCCCUCGCUAGAGGUGUGUGUGCCGGAGUAUUUGUAUCAUCCUUUCAGUGAUCGGCUCUACCCUUAACCGGGUCGGAGCUGCUAGCUGGAUCUUUUACUUUGAAGAAAUUGGAGUGUUUAAAGCAGGCUUACGCCAGAACAUAUUAGCAUGGAAUAAUAAUUUAGGACUUUUGUUCUAUUUUGUUGGUUUCUAGGACGAAAGUAAUGAUUGAUAGGGAUAGUUGGGGGUGCUAGUAUUCGGCGGCCAGAGGUGAAAUUCUUUGAUCCGCUGAAGACUAACUUAUGCGAAAGCAUUCACCAAGGAUGUCUUCAUUA
This 396-nucleotide ribosomal RNA is filed under the name Cercozoa sp. Its description in RNAcentral is "partial small subunit ribosomal RNA". It matches the Rfam family "Eukaryotic small subunit ribosomal RNA", at positions 582 to 975 of the family's 1831-position model. The record is from RNAcentral. Lineage: Eukaryota; Cercozoa.